Molecule: ribosomal RNA, 490 nt
Filed under: uncultured bacterium
Lineage: Bacteria
Description: partial 16S ribosomal RNA
Rfam family: Bacterial small subunit ribosomal RNA
Source: RNAcentral
AUUGAACGCUGGCGGCAGGCCUAACACAUGCAAGUCGAACGGUAACAGGAAGACGCUUGCUUCUUUGCUGACGAGUGGCGGACGGGUGAGUAAUGUCUGGGAAACUGCCUGAUGGAGGGGGAUAACUACUGGAAACGGUAGCUAAUACCGCAUAACGUCGCAAGACCAAAAAGGGGGACCUUCGGGCCUCUUGCCAUCGGAUGUGCCCAGAUGGGAUUAGCUAGUAGGUGGGGUAACGGCUCACCGAGGCGACGAUCCCUAGCGGGUCUGAGAGGAUGACCAGCCACACUGGAACUGAGCCACGGUCCAGACUCCUACGGGAGGCAGCAGUGGGGAAUAUUGCACAAUGGGCGCAAGCCUGAUGCAGCCAUGCCGCGUGUAUGAAGAAGGCCUUCCGGUUGUAAAGUACUUUCAGCGGGGAGGAAGGGAGUAAAGUUAAUACCUUUGCUCAUUGACGUUACCCGCAGAAGAAGCACCGGCUAACUCCGUG